This 651-nucleotide ribosomal RNA is filed under the name Colletotrichum falcatum. RNAcentral's name for it is "partial large subunit ribosomal RNA". It matches the Rfam family "Eukaryotic large subunit ribosomal RNA", at positions 310 to 986 of the family's 3401-position model. The record is from RNAcentral. Lineage: Eukaryota; Fungi; Ascomycota; Sordariomycetes; Glomerellales; Glomerellaceae.
CUAAAGCUAAAUAUUGGCCACAGACCGAUAGCGCACAAGAAGAGUGAUCGAAAGAUGAAAAGCACUUUGAAAAGAGGGUUAAACAGCACGUGAAAUUGUUAAAAGGGAAGCGCUUGUGACCAGACUUGCGCCCGGAGAAUCACCCAGCCCUCGCGGCUGGGGCACUUUGCCGGCACAGGCCAGCAUCAGCUCGCCGUCGGGGACAAAAGUAGGGGGAACGUAGCUCUCUUCGGGGAGUGUUAUAGCCCCCUACAUAAUACCCUUCGGCGGGCUGAGGUACGCGCUCCGCAAGGAUGCUGGCGUAAUGGUCACCAGCGACCCGUCUUGAAACACGGACCAAGGAGUCAACCUUAUGUGCGAGUGUUUGGGUGUCACACCCCUACGCGUAAUGAAAGUGAACGCAGGUGAGAGCUUCGGCGCAUCAUCGACCGAUCCUGAUGUUCUCGGAGGGAUUUGAGUAAGAGCAUAUAGGGUUGGACCCGAAAAAAGGGGAACUAUGCGUGUAUAGGGCGAAGCCAGAGGAAACUCUGGUGGAGCCUCGCACCGAUUCUGACGUGCAAAUCGAUCGGCAAAUAUGCGCGUGGGGGCGAAAGACUAAUCGAACCUUCUAGUAGCUGGUUUCCGCCGAAGUUUCCCUCCCGGAAAGAAAAA